GGGUGUGACUGCGUACCUUUUGUAUAAUGGGUCAGCGACUUAUAUUCUGUAGCAAGGUUAACCGAAUAGGGGAGCCGGAGGGAAACCGAGUCUUAACCGGGCGUUAAGUUGCAGGGUAUAGACCCGAAACCCGGUGAUCUAGCCAUGGGCAGGUUGAAGGUUGGGUAACACUAACUGGAGGACCGAACCGACUAAUGUUGAAAAAUUAGCGGAUGACCUGUGGCUGGGGGUGAAAGGCCAAUCAAACCGGGAGAUAGCUGGUUCUCCCCGAAAGCUAUUUAGGUAGCGCCUCGUGAAUUCAUCUCCGGGGGUAGAGCACUGUUUCGGCUAGGGGGCCAUCCCGGCUUACCAACCCGAUGCAAACUGCGAAUACCGGAGAAUGUUAUCACGGGAGACACACGGCGGGUGCUAACGUCCGUCGUGAAGAGGGAAACAACCCAGACCGCCAGCUAAGGUCCCAAAGUCAUGGUUAAGUGGGAAACGAUGUGGGAAGGCCCAGACAGCCAGGAUGUUGGCUUAGAAGCAGCCAUCAUUUAAAGAAAGCGUAAUAGCUCACUGGUCGAGUCGGCCUGCGCGGAAGAUGUAACGGGGCUAAACC
Molecule: ribosomal RNA, 598 nt
Filed under: Salmonella enterica subsp. enterica
Lineage: Bacteria; Pseudomonadati; Pseudomonadota; Gammaproteobacteria; Enterobacterales; Enterobacteriaceae
Description: bacterial LSU rRNA
Rfam family: Bacterial large subunit ribosomal RNA
Source: RNAcentral